Molecule: ribosomal RNA, 347 nt
Filed under: Phalacrotophora halictorum
Lineage: Eukaryota; Metazoa; Arthropoda; Insecta; Diptera; Phoridae
Description: eukaryotic LSU rRNA
Rfam family: Eukaryotic large subunit ribosomal RNA
Source: RNAcentral
GAACGAAAGGGAAUACGGUUCCAAUUCCGUAACCUGUUGAGUAUACGUUUGUUAUUAAAUAUGGGCUUUUUGCUCAUCCUGGCAACAGGAACAACCAUAGAGAAGCCGUCGAGAGGUAUCGGAAGAGUUUUCUUUUCUGUUUUAUAGUCGUACUACCAUGGAAGUCUUUCGAAGAGAGAUAUGGUAGAUGGACUAGAAGAGCAUGGCAUUUACUGCUGUGUCGAUAUUUUCUCCUCGGACCUUGAAAAUCUAUGGUGGGGUCACGCAAACAUCUCAACAGGCCGUACCGAUAUCCGCAGCUGGUCUCCAAGGUGAAGAGUCUCUAGUCGAUAGAAUAAUGUAGGUAA